Molecule: unclassified non-coding RNA, 1678 nt
Filed under: uncultured fungus
Lineage: Eukaryota; Fungi
Description: sequence contains 18S rRNA gene, ITS1, 5.8S rRNA gene, ITS2, 28S rRNA gene
Rfam family: Eukaryotic large subunit ribosomal RNA (bases 571-1678)
Source: RNAcentral
GGAAGGAUCAUCAACAAAAGGGUUAAAAGUGCGUGGGCGGGCGCAAGCUCGUUUUUCACGUUCUGCACCCGAAAUCCUGUAUUCACCCCAAGUUCCUUUAAAAUUUCAAAUAAAAAACUUUUUGCAAAAGACCACCUUCGUUUCGGUGGCGUCUAAUUGCACAAAGCGAAAACUUUCAACAACGGAUCUCUUGGCUCUCGCAUCGAUGAAGAACGCAGCGAAAUGCGAUAAGUAGUGUGAAUUGCAGAUUAGAGUGAAUCAUCGAAUUUUUGAACGCAUAUUGCGCUCUCCGGUAUUCCGGGGAGCAUGCCUGGCUGAGGGUCGGUAAAACAAACCUCCGGAUGAAAAUCCGGUGGUCGAUGGGUGUCUAUCCGAUUUGCCCCUUGGGGAAUUAAUCGGUCACCUGAAAUAACAGGCUCCGCUGGUUCGCGGACUCGUGCAGUAAAGAUACAAAUAUGAGUGUGCGCUUAGCGCCUUCGGAUAUCACACUUCACGAUAUGCGGCAAAGCGAGAAGCCACGUUUUGGCUGUUUACGGCCAAAUGCGUCCCAUGGCGCAUAUUUUGAAAGCUCGACCUCAGAUCAAGCAAGACCACCCGCUGAACUUAAGCAUAUCAAUAAGCGGAGGAAAAGAAACUAACAAGGAUUCCCCUAGUAACGGCGAGUGAAGCGGGAAGAGCUCAAAUUUUAAAUCAGUGUGCCUCCGGCGCAUCGAGUUGUAGUUUGAAGAGGCGUUUUUUCGCGUCCGACAGCCGGCACAAGUCCUCAGGAACGAGGCGUCGUAGAGGGUGACAACCCCGUCCACGGCCGGUGUAUCGGGUGCGUACGAUACGCUCUCAAAGAGUCGAGUAGUUUGGGAUUGCUGCUCUAACUGGGUGGUAGACUCCAUCUAAGGCUAAAUAACGGCGAGAGACCGAUAGCGAACAAGUACCGUGAGGGAAAGAUGAAAAGAACUCUGAAGAGAGAGUUAAAAGUACGUGAAAUUGUUGAAAGGGAAACGCUUGAAGCCAGUCGUGUCGGUGGAAUAUCAACGAGGAGCGGACAGAGACGUCGUGUGGGCAGGGUAAAACCGUCCUUGCGGUGUUCGAAAGUUCGUCGGCGUGCACUAUUCCGCAUGGCAGGCCAGCGUCGGUUUCCUGCGCGGCACAAUGGUCAGGGUAAGGUGCCCCUUCCGAGGGAGUUAUAGACCUUGGCCAACGUCGUGCAAGGAACCGAGGAACGCGGCGGCGACCCUUCGGGGCUUGGACCUUUCCUUUGGGCGGCGGCACGUGCGUUCUGAGCUUGCUCGGGCGUGUUUGCACGUUUGUUCAACAGGGGGAGACGUCCGUACCUACCGCCAAGGACGCUGGCGUAAUGGCUUCAAACGACCCGUCUUGAAACACGGACCAAGGAGUCCAGCAUAUGUGCGAGUGUUUGGGUGGCAAACCCUUACGCGUAAUCAACGUGAACGCAGGUGGGAACCUCUCCGGGGGCGCACCAUCGACCGAUCCUGAGACUAGUUGAUGGAUUUGAGUAAGAGCAUAUCUGUUGGGACCCGAAAGAUGGUGAACUAUGCCUGAAUAGGGUGAAGCCAGGGGAAACUCUGGUGGAGGCCCGUAGCGAUUCUGACGUGCAAAUCGAUCGUCGAAUUUGGGUAUAGGGGCGAAAGACUAAUCGAACCAUCUAGUAGCUGGUUCCUGC